This 994-nucleotide long non-coding RNA is filed under the name Taeniopygia guttata (zebra finch). Its description in RNAcentral is "lncRNA (ENSTGUG00000020857.1)". The record is from RNAcentral. Lineage: Eukaryota; Metazoa; Chordata; Aves; Passeriformes; Estrildidae.
CAUGGGAUUAGAAGCCCUCUGAGCUUCUGAGCAGUUGUGGCUGGGUGUGCAAAGGCUCUUCUACUAGUGGAGAGCCUUUGAUAUUUUAUUGUCUGCCUAGGUGGUGUGACUGAUUGUUCAUCUCCAUCAGCUUUGCACCUCAGGUGAUGUAAAGAAGGUGGAAACCUGGAGUAAGUAGGUCCCUCAGAAUUGCGUUGUCCUGGGAAGAAGAGAUGGAAGAAGAAGGCUGUGAGACUGUAGUGAGGCAAAUGUGCAAGGCCUUUGGUAUCUUGUGCACUGACAAGGGCCUUUUCCUGAGGAAAAAGGAGUUACUUGUGGUGUGAAUAUGAUCCUGUGAAGCUAAGCACACUGGCUGUGUGGAGAGCUGUGUUUGAUGGCACCUGGGGCAGCAGAAGGGCACACAGGUUAUUCUGCUACUUGCAUGUCUACUGGAGAAGGUGGAGGUGUCCCUGUGCCAUACUGGUAAUACAACAAAACUGCAGUGGAAGCUCUGAUUAAAAGAUGAAGUGUGAUGCUAUAAAUAAGCCUCACCAUGAAGACGUUAGGGUGGCCAUGGCUGUACAAAGUAUCUUAACCAGCAAUCUUUCACCCUUCCACAAAUCUUUUCUUUUUGAAGACCAGAAAGAUUGUUAUUGAGCCUUCCACAAAGCUGAAAUAAUGCUGUGUGUUAAAAAAAUGUUAACAAUUUGAAGAAGUUAUAAAAAUUUAUAAGUUGACUGAAUACUUUGGAAAUUUCUGCAUAUUUUAAUAUAAAUAGGUAAUGCAAAUGUUUGUUCUUUGCAUUUAGAGGUGGGUCUCUGUUUUGUAAAGGUCUUGUAUAUAAAUUUGAUUCUUACAAUUACAUUAGAACAAAACCAGUAUUUUUUUCAGAUUGUAUAAUAGGAAAAAUGUAUUUGCUAAAGACACAGAACAUACAUGGUUAUCUCUGAAUGUCCUAUAGUAAUGAAAUUCAACAUAAAUAGCAUCAGUUGUUUGAAUUACUUCAUUAAGUGCA